Molecule: ribosomal RNA, 172 nt
Filed under: uncultured bacterium WkB24
Lineage: Bacteria
Description: partial 16S ribosomal RNA
Source: RNAcentral
AUUACCGCGGCUGCUGGCACGUAGUUAGCCGUGGCUUAUUCAAGGGGUACCGUCAUUUAUUCUUCCCCCUUAAAAGAAGUUUACGACCCAGAGGGCCUUCAUCCUUCACGCGGCGUCGCUGGGUCACACUUUCGUGCAUUGCCCAAGAUUCUCGACUGCUGCCUCCCGUAGG